AACGUGUCUUCAUAACCCAUUAAUUUCACUUUGCAGUGCAUCCCUCGAAUGUGGCACAGAUUCAGGUAAUAUCCCUGAGGCUUGUCUGUUGUUGUCUGCGUGGGACUCUCAGCAGUUUUUGGACUGAUCGUGACUCAAGACCGCGCCUCCAACAGCCCGAGGACACCGGACUCCACUCAACUGGGCCUCAGCUACAAGAGUACUACAAGAAAACAGUCCAAAAAUGAAGAACUGCAACACAUCUUUACUGGCGUUUCCAGCUAAGAUUUGAGAUCUCAGGAAACAGAAGACUGGAAAGAUGACAGGACGUGAGGGAGCGAGAGAGCAUGGGAAUGGAGCAGAAGAGAAGGAGAAGUGAGUGGGCGAGGAAUCAGAUGCCAUGUGUUUGUGAGUGAGUCAGACCCACAGAGCUGGCAUGACCCACCCAAAAGGAGAGAAACUGGCCUUACCAACCAUCGAAUGACCGGGUCGCUUUGAAACAGAUGUUUGCUCUCUGUGGAAGUUCUGGGUUUGUGACGAAGCUGUCAAACAUGUUUGUCCAAAUUUAAAUCAGGUAAGGUUUAGAUUUUUCAUCCAUUCAUUCCCCAAACGUCUGGAUGACACCUUGUACAGCAGCUCAGAAACUCUGUGAUCAGUUUAGGCAAAAACAGAGUGUCAGUGGAGCUGAACACCAUCUUUACAGGUAAACUUCACCCUCAGAGCAGAGCCAGUUUUCUUGUUUGGUCGUGUCAAAAAACAAAGUGCACAUAAAAUUGGUGCUGAGAAUGAACCGAGGAGCUGCUGCACUACACCAACGUGUUUUCCACUUCAGCACGUCCUGAUGUGGAAAAUAAUUCAGCACCUUAUAUAGCAGAUAAAACCGAAGCUGCACACUGAAGAGCCAUCACUCAUUGUCCUCUGAUUAUGUUCUCUCUAAACAGCAGUAACUGCUUUCAAAUCAGACAGAACAGCCUCGGUGUCGUUGGAGUGUACAUGGCCUGCUUUAGCUGGAAAUGUCCACCGGAAAAAACAAAACGGCCAGACAGCAACAGAUUAAUAUUACCAGGAUUUCAUAACGCAGACAGAUUGAAUGACACUUGCUUCCAAUGCAUUUAUUCAUUUAAUACUUUGUUCGGGCUGCUCCAGCAAUUUCAUCCGGCUCCUGUUUGUAGGGCCAGUCUACAGAUUCUGUCGGUGUUUUUGCUUUCUCGCCACAGAAACUGCUUACGUUUCACGCUCACUUUAAUAAAUGUCACAAUAAACAAAAACAAAUUCUGUCAGGAGAAAAGUGGCAUGAAUCAAUUUAGUCUGGACGCUCACCUCACCCUUCCCACACUCAAAACCCCUGCGUUCCCUCCUCUUUGGCAGGCUGAUGGGUUUUGCUCCUCCGCAGCACACCCGUCAGCUAUGAGCGAUUCGGGUUUGACAACAAAGACAUUCUUAAAAAUCGUCCAUUUCUCCUCCUCAGCACGACACAACACUCUCAGCCUACUAGGCUGGCUGCAAUCACACACUUCAGUGAAAUGCAAUAAACAGCAAGUCUGAGAUGAGAAACUGCAAAGGUGACCAAAGCGACAACUGACACAAACACCGAGAUCUGUCCUAUUAUGUCUCAGUGGAGAAUACUGAGUGACGGUGCACGACUAAACACUCAGGAAAAACUGUUUUCAACAACCUGAACGCACAAAUAUGGGGUCAAAGCAACUGUAAUGGUAAAAAUAUUUAGGGGGGGAUCCAUUUUAUUUCUGUUUUUGCUGUAUCAUAUCUCCUGUUUCAGUGCUGGAUGCUCAUUUAAGCAAGGCCAAAGGUCAGUGUAUGUACAAGGAAUCCACGUGAGCCAGAAGUUCACGCAGUUUAUCACAUCUUUUUUCUGCUCUUGACUCUGUAUGAUGUCAAAGAGAGGGGAUAUGCCUAAUAUGGUCAUGUUUUGUCUAUGAGGGGCAGCUUGUUUCAGACAGAGGAUGAACUGAUGGGGUGGAAUAAGAAGGAGAAGAAGACUGAGGAGAUGGAGGAGGAGGAGAAGUAGAAGAAGAAGAAGGAGGAGAAGAUGAUGAAGGAGAAGAAGUAGUAGUAGCAGCAGCAGUUGGAAUAAGCACAUUUUACAAUAAAACUUUCUCGUGCGAUUAGUUACAUGAAAAUGAUUUUCAUUUUUCAUGUGUUUUUAUAACAUGUAUCUGAAUGUUGGAUUAAGUGAAGAUCCAAAUUCUCUUUUUCUUAUUCACAUUCAGAGAAUCGCACAUGUCCACUGAUGCAGCACUUAUGUAAACAAGGUGGA
Molecule: long non-coding RNA, 2254 nt
Organism: Oreochromis aureus
Lineage: Eukaryota; Metazoa; Chordata; Actinopteri; Cichliformes; Cichlidae
Exons: 3
Source: RefSeq, a predicted model, not a curated record